GACGAACGCUGGCGGCGUGCCUAAUACAUGCAAGUUGAGCGCUGAAGGUUGGUACUUGUACCAACUGGAUGAGCAGCGAACGGGUGAGUAACGCGUGGGGAAUCUGCCUUUGAGCGGGGGACAACAUUUGGAAACGAAUGCUAAUACCGCAUAAAAACUUUAAACACAAGUUUUAAGUUUGAAAGAUGCAAUUGCAUCACUCAAAGAUGAUCCCGCGUUGUAUUAGCUAGUUGGUGAGGUAAAGGCUCACCAAGGCGAUGAUACAUAGCCGACCUGAGAGGGUGAUCGGCCACAUUGGGACUGAGACACGGCCCAAACUCCUACGGGAGGCAGCAGUAGGGAAUCUUCGGCAAUGGACGAAAGUCUGACCGAGCAACGCCGCGUGAGUGAAGAAGGUUUUCGGAUCGUAAAACUCUGUUGGUAGAGAAGAACGUUGGUGAGAGUGGAAAGCUCAUCAAGUGACGGGAACGACCCAGAAAGGGACGGCUAACUACGU
RNAcentral lists this ribosomal RNA (496 nucleotides) under uncultured bacterium. Its description in RNAcentral is "partial 16S ribosomal RNA". It matches the Rfam family "Bacterial small subunit ribosomal RNA", at positions 28 to 506 of the family's 1533-position model. The record is from RNAcentral.